This 66-nucleotide transfer RNA is filed under the name Phrynocephalus mystaceus (secret toadhead agama). RNAcentral's name for it is "tRNA-Phe". The record is from RNAcentral. Lineage: Eukaryota; Metazoa; Chordata; Lepidosauria; Squamata; Agamidae.
ACAAAUGUAACUUAACAGCAAAGCAUAGUGCUGAAGCCACUAAAAUGAAUUGGCACUCCAAACAUA